Molecule: ribosomal RNA, 477 nt
Filed under: uncultured bacterium
Lineage: Bacteria
Description: partial 16S ribosomal RNA
Rfam family: Bacterial small subunit ribosomal RNA
Source: RNAcentral
GAUGAACGCUGGCGGCGUGCCUAAUACAUGCAAGUCGAGCGAACAGACGAGGAGCUUGCUCCUCUGACGUUAGCGGCGGACGGGUGAGUAACACGUGGAUAACCUACCUAUAAGACUGGGAUAACUUCGGGAAACCGGAGCUAAUACCGGAUAAUAUAUUGAACCGCAUGGUUCAAUAGUGAAAGACGGUUUUGCUGUCACUUAUAGAUGGAUCCGCGCCGCAUUAGCUAGUUGGUAAGGUAACGGCUUACCAAGGCUUCGAUGCGUAGCCGACCUGAGAGGGUGACCGGCCACAGCGGGACGGAGAUACGGCCCAGACUCCGAGGGGAGGCAGGAGUGGGGAAUAUUGAACAAUGGGCGGAAGCAUGAAGCAGCAACGCAGCGAGCGGGAUGAAGGCCGUCGGUGUGUAAACCGCUUGCGCCUGUGACGAAGCGGGAGGGACGGGAAUGGGUAAAGAAGCACCGGCGAACUACGUG